GCACAAGCAGUGGAGUAUGUGGUUUAAUUCGAAGCAACGCGAAGAACCUUACCAGGUCUUGACAUCGGAUGCAUAGCCUAGAGAUAGGUGAAGCCCUUCGGGGCAUCCAGACAGGUGGUGCAUGGUUGUCGUCAGCUCGUGUCGUGAGAUGUUGGGUUAAGUCCCGCAACGAGCGCAACCCUUAUUAUUAGUUGCUACGCAAGAGCACUCUAAUGAGACUGCCGUUGACAAAA
RNAcentral lists this ribosomal RNA (233 nucleotides) under uncultured bacterium. RNAcentral's name for it is "partial 16S ribosomal RNA". It matches the Rfam family "Bacterial small subunit ribosomal RNA", at positions 923 to 1163 of the family's 1533-position model. The record is from RNAcentral.